UACGUAGGGAGCAAGCGUUGUCCGGAAUCAUUGGGCGUAAAGCGCGCGUAGGUGGCUUCGUAAGUCCGUUGUGAAAGUCAAAGGCUCAACCUUUGAAAGCCGAUGGAUACUGCGGAGCUAGAGUACGGAAGAGGCGAGUGGAAUUCCUGGUGUAGCGGUGGAAUGCGCAGAUAUCAGGAGGAACACCGGUGGCGAAGGCGGGUCUCUGGGCAACAACUGACGCUGAGGAGCGAAAGCGUGGGGAGCGAACAGG
RNAcentral lists this ribosomal RNA (253 nucleotides) under uncultured bacterium. RNAcentral describes it as "partial 16S ribosomal RNA". It matches the Rfam family "Bacterial small subunit ribosomal RNA", at positions 524 to 776 of the family's 1533-position model. The record is from RNAcentral.